This 292-nucleotide ribosomal RNA is filed under the name uncultured bacterium. RNAcentral describes it as "partial 16S ribosomal RNA". It matches the Rfam family "Bacterial small subunit ribosomal RNA", at positions 505 to 796 of the family's 1533-position model. The record is from RNAcentral.
GUGCCAGCAGCCGCGGUAAAACGUAGGUACCGAGCGUUAUCCGGAUUUACUGGGCGUAAAGCGCGUUCAGGCGGCUUGACAAGUCGGGCAUGAAAUCUCUCGGCUCAACCGGGAGGGGCUGUCCGAUACUGUCGGGCUUGAGGGCAGUAGAGGGUGGUGGAAUUCCGGGUGUAGUGGUGAAAUGCGUAGAUAUCCGGAGGAACACCAGUGGCGAAAGCGGCCACCUGGACUGUACCUGACGCUCAAACGCGAAAGCUAGGGGAGCGAACGGGAUUAGAUACCCCUGUAGUCC